RNAcentral lists this ribosomal RNA (468 nucleotides) under uncultured bacterium. Its description in RNAcentral is "partial 16S ribosomal RNA". It matches the Rfam family "Bacterial small subunit ribosomal RNA", at positions 28 to 507 of the family's 1533-position model. The record is from RNAcentral.
GACGAACGCUGGCGGCGUGCUUAACACAUGCAAGUCGAACGGAAAGGCCCUGCUUUUGUGGGGUGCUCGAGUGGCGAACGGGUGAGUAACACGUGAGUAACCUGCCCUUGACUUUGGGAUAACUUCAGGAAACUGGGGCUAAUACUGGAUAGGAGCUCCUGCUGCAUGGUGGGGGUUGGAAAGUUUCGGCGGUUGGGGAUGGACUCGCGGCUUAUCAGCUUGUUGGUGGGGUAGUGGCUUACCAAGGCUUUGGCGGGUAGCCGGCCUGAGAGGGUGACCGGCCACAUUGGGACUGAGAUACGGCCCAGACUCCUACGGGAGGCAGCAGUGGGGAAUAUUGCACAAUGGGCGGAAGCCUGAUGCAGCAACGCCGCGUGCGGGAUGACGGCCUUCGGGUUGUAAACCGCUUUCGCCUGUGACGAAGCGUGAGUGACGGUAAUGGGUAAAGAAGCACCGGCUAACUACGUG